This 347-nucleotide long non-coding RNA is filed under the name Setaria viridis. RNAcentral describes it as "long non-coding RNA (SVIR_LNC002853)". The record is from RNAcentral. Lineage: Eukaryota; Viridiplantae; Streptophyta; Magnoliopsida; Poales; Poaceae.
UAAAUUAAUAACUAAUUUUAAUUAAAGACUGCACAUACUAGGCGCCCAUCAUCUGUCCAUCAAUCUGUGCAUAUGUUCAGUGCAUGGAACGAUCGUUCAGUAGGUGGUGACGAACGGCUUGUAGACCUUGAGGUCGGAGAUGAUCCCGGCGACGGAGCCCGCGGCGGAGGCCACGGUGAUGAUGAGGCAGGCGAGGCUGAGCAUCUGCAGGCACACCCACCGCGUGCUCCACCUGGGCACCUUCUUCUGCACGAUGUACAUCUCUACGGGGAAGUAGACGGUGAGCGGCCAGAACCCCAGCGCGCCCAGCAGCCCGACCACGUCGUUGAAGAACGGCAGGAGCAUGG